AAGCCGGUGGCGUAAUGGUAGCGUGUCUGACUCCAGAUCAGAAGGUACCGUGUUCGAAUCACGUCCGGCACA
RNAcentral lists this transfer RNA (72 nucleotides) under Centruroides sculpturatus (bark scorpion). RNAcentral describes it as "tRNA-Trp". It matches the Rfam family "tRNA". From Rfam's summary of the family: Transfer RNA (tRNA) molecules are approximately 80 nucleotides in length. The record is from RNAcentral. Lineage: Eukaryota; Metazoa; Arthropoda; Arachnida; Scorpiones; Buthidae.